Molecule: ribosomal RNA, 256 nt
Filed under: uncultured bacterium
Lineage: Bacteria
Description: partial 16S ribosomal RNA
Rfam family: Bacterial small subunit ribosomal RNA
Source: RNAcentral
GGUAGUACAGGGGGGGCAAGCGUUGUUCGGAAUUACUGGGCGUAAAGGGCGCGUAGUCGGCCAGCUAAGUCGGACGUGAAAUCCCUCGGCUCAACCGGGGAACUGCGUCCGAUACUGGUGGGCUUGAGUUCAGGAGAGGAAUGUGGAAUUCCAGGUGUAGCGGUGAAAUGCGUAGAUAUCUGGAGGAACACCGGUGGCGAAGGCGGCAUUCUGGACCGACACUGACGCUGAGGCGCGAAAGCCAGGGGAGCAAACG